AUAAUCCACACUCCAACAGGAGCCCCGCCGCACCCGCGUGCUUGGGGUGAAACGGGAAGUCCGGUGACCUCACACCCCUGGUGUGGAGCAUUCCGGCGCAGCCCCCGCUGCUGUAAGCCUGACAGACACACUUCGAUGCCACUGGGAGCCCCCCGGGAAGGCGGUGUGCGCUGUAUGACGGCAAGCCAGAAUACCGACCUGUUGGCACGCAGUUGU
RNAcentral lists this non-coding RNA (216 nucleotides) under Comamonas aquatica. The record is from RNAcentral. Lineage: Bacteria; Pseudomonadati; Pseudomonadota; Betaproteobacteria; Burkholderiales; Comamonadaceae. RNAcentral also lists the same sequence under 1 other name.